CAAGUCUGGUGCCAGCAGCCGCGGUAAUUCCAGCUCCAAUAGCGUAUAUUAAAGUUGUUGCAGUUAAAAAGCUCGUAGUUGGAUUUCUGUUAAUAAUUUAUAUAUAAUAUUUAAUAUAUUUAUAUAAUAUUAACAUAAUUCAUAUUACUAUUUUAGUAUAUAUGAAAUUUUACUUUGAGAAAAUUAGAGUGCUUAAAGCAGGCAUAUGCCUUGAAUACUCCAGCAUGGAAUAAUAUUAAAGAUUUUUAUCUUUUUUAUUGGUUCUAAGAUAAAAAUAAUGAUUAAUAGGGACAGUUGGGGGCAUUUGUAUUUAACAGUCAGAGGUGAAAUUCUUAGAUUUGUUAAAGACAAACUAGUGCGAAAGCAUUUGCCAAGGAUGUUUUCAUUAAUCAAGAACGAAAGUUAGGGGAUCGAAGACGAUCAGAUACCGUCGUAGUCUUAACCAUAAACUAUGCCAACUAGAGAUUGGAGGUUGUUCCUUACUCCUUC
RNAcentral lists this ribosomal RNA (489 nucleotides) under Cryptosporidium sp. RNAcentral's name for it is "SSU rRNA". It matches the Rfam family "Eukaryotic small subunit ribosomal RNA", at positions 556 to 1081 of the family's 1831-position model. The record is from RNAcentral. Lineage: Eukaryota; Apicomplexa; Conoidasida; Eucoccidiorida; Cryptosporidiidae.